Octodon degus (degu) is the source of this 107-nucleotide small nuclear RNA. NCBI's taxonomy places the organism in Eukaryota, Metazoa, Chordata, Mammalia, Rodentia, Octodontidae. The record is from Ensembl.
GUGCUUGCUUUGGCAGCACAAAUACUAAAAUUGGAAUGAUACAGAGAACAUUAGUAAGGUCCCUGCUAAAGGAUAAGAUGCAAAUUCAUGAAGCAUACCAUAUUUUA